Long non-coding RNA from Xiphophorus couchianus (Monterrey platyfish), 1636 nucleotides. RefSeq lists it as uncharacterized. The transcript is spliced from 2 exons. NCBI's taxonomy places the organism in Eukaryota, Metazoa, Chordata, Actinopteri, Cyprinodontiformes, Poeciliidae. The record is from RefSeq and is a predicted model, not a curated record.
CGCCACUCCUGCAUGUGCCUGUUUUUAUGGUUGUUUCUGUAUUUAUCAUCAAAAAUAAUUUCCCAGAGAACAAAAAAGCAAUAUGAAUAGAAAUUAUUUUUACAGGCAUCUAAGAAAACUGCAAUGGACAUUCAACUUAAAAUUGGUAGACCUAUCAGCAGCCAAAAAAAUAUUCCUGUUCUGUGCAAUUUUCCGAUAUGUAAGUUGCUAAAUUUUAAAAGAUGUAGAACAAUACAACUUUAAACUAUUUGCAAAAAUCUGUGUUCUGUUUAUCUGUGCUAUCCAUGAAUCCGUCCUACCUUGUGGUAAUGCGCAUGCGCGCAUCGCUGCUAUGUCACAUAUUGUUUAUUCAGGAGAUUUCCUAUUAAUACAACCUACCUGUGGAAGUUUUGUUUCAUGUGUUUUAGUUCAUCGAAGAUUACAGUAAGCUUUAUUUAAUUUAUAUCUGGCUUUCAUUAAGCUGCUGUAUUAUUUCAUGUUUUUAGUUUACAUGACAGGCAGUUUGUGAAUAUAUUUAUAAAUGGCUUUAGUUUGUCAACUGCAAUGUCGUUACAACUGUAAACAAGUCACUGUUUGGCGAUUAAUCAGGACAAAAUAUGUUGUUUUGUGGGCUGUUUUGUCCCUAUACUUUAAAUAUUUUAGUUUAAUUACUUUUUUUUUUUUUUUUUACUAAACCUUGCUUAAUAGAUGUUGGUACCGAUAAUAUGUGAGAUUGAAGCUGUAAUAAUUAUGUAAUAUUAGUGUAUGUUAAUCAUAUCCUAUCAUUUGAGGAGCACAGUGACCUGCACAGUUUGGUGGACACAUUGUGGCUCCACUGCAUUUGAUAACAUACAACAUAGUAAUGAUCAAAAAAGAGUUGCGGUGAUCUGUAUUUGUCUGUGUUUAAUUUCAUUUCAAUAAAAACCUGUUUCCCCUGCCUGAUACUGUUUUACUCUUACAAACACCUGUGCAUUUAAAAUAUUUUUAAUAAGGUAUGCUAAGCUAAGCAUAACUCCUAAGCUUCCUCUCUCUACUACCUCAUCAGAUUUUUCUACAGUAGCAUGGAUAAAUAGCUAUGUUUAUCCGUCAGUGCUACGCGUCCAAAACUGCUACCGUCAUAUUUACAAACAGAAAACUAUAGCGGGUUGUAUUAAUGUUAAAUAUAUUGGAUAACAUUAUUUGAGUGACAGGAUUGAAGUGUAAGCUUAGGAGUUAUGCUUAGCAUAGCUGUGGAACAAUUUCUAUACAUGACAAAACACAAGAAGAUCACUUCCUUCAUCUGAAUAUCCUAACCGUUUAAAAUGAAAAGCUAUAGAUGUAUGCACUAAUCCUUUUACUAGAACAUCCUGCCUUUUAAAGAAUAUUUUAUAUACAGAGGUGAUUGUAAGACUAAAACAGUAUCGGACAGGUGAAACAGGUUUUUAUUGAAAUUAAAUUAAAAAGACAUGUACAACUACCGCAACGCUUUUUUGCAUAUUAAUAUGCUGUAUGACACUUUAUCAAACGCAGUGCAGCCACAAUGUGUCCACCGAACUGCAUAGGUCACUGUGCACCUGAAAUUUUAGGAUAUGCUUAAUAUACACUAAUUUUACACUGCUAUUACACAGCUUCAAUCCAACAUAGUAUCACUACCAACAUCUAUUUAGCAAGGUUUAAU